AGUUGGUAGUCGACGCUGCUCCGGCUCCCAGGCUCCGGCAGGGUGACCAGCCCCGCGCAGUGGUCCCGGGGAGCCACCGGGCAGACCUGGCCGCCUAGCACGCCCUCCACGCACACCAGAUUAUCCUGCAAGGACUCAAUACUUUUAACUACUAUGCUAAAUUGCUUCUUGAAGGUCUUGGUGUCAUCACACAGAUGAGUGCAUUAAAAAAAAAAUGGAGCCUUAAAAUAAAAAAAUAUUAACAACUCUAAGGUACCAUGUACUCUUCUGUACCUUGAUAUUUUUCACUUAAGUAAUUUUGGAGGUUUUUCCAGAACAGUACAUGUAGAUCAAGCUCAUUUUCAAUGCUGCAUGGUAUUCCAGGAUGGAGAUCUGGGGAGACAGAGUGUUAAGAAGAAUGGAAAACAUCUUUCCUGAUUGAUAUUAUUGUGGUCAGUCUUCUCCAGACUCGGCAGAUAUUUUAAGGUAACUCUCUUAUGUGGGGAUUCUUCAGAAACCCACCGAUGCAAGAAGACACCUCCAUUAAAAUAGACUUCUGGAUUUCCAUCAGUGACAGGCUUCUGGAGGGGCAGAGCCAAGUGGCAGCCCUUAACGGCCAGCAGCAAGGUGGGUGCAGUUACUAUAAUGGGCAGAGUGUCUGCAGCAGCAAGCAGAGUAUUUCAGCACACAAGAACCUUUGAUGUUUGUUAAUUGUUCAUGGUGGCCCUAGGACCAAAACAGAUUGGAAUUCUACUAGGAAUCGCUUGAUUUAUGUAACUGGGAAAUCUCUAGAUCCGGUGACUAGAAACCUGAGUUGUUCAAUGUACAGUCAUAGCUCAUCACCCAAGUCUCAGAUCUGAAUCAGUUCAAAGACAUAGAAAUGCCCGGAUCACUGAUUUUGCAGCUGGGUCCAAGGAGUAGCAGCAGCAACAGCACCUGGGAAUUUGUUAGAAAUGCACAUUUCCAGACCCUUCCCCAGCCCUAUGGAUGCAAACACUCUGGAGGAGGGUCCAGCAGUCUUUGUUUUAGCAGGCACUUCAGCUGAGUCCUGUGCAUGCUAAGGUCUGAGAACUCUGACCUUAAGAGUAGGAGAGGCUGGAAAGCCUUGAGAAGGGACCCUGUAACAUUGCUGUAAGUACCUAGUGUAAGUCUUCCUUUAAGUCUUCUCCAGAAGAUCUGCAGCCAUUAACUAGGGUAACUGCAGUGAGGAAGGGGGAAUAUCCAGGCCUUUGGGACAUUUCUAGACGUUAGCUCUGAGUCGAUGCUAAUCUGUAAAGCUCCAACAUGCCUCUGGACCACGGAGAGGGGUUGGGGGUAGGGGUCUCGUGUGGUGAUCAAAUGAUAAAUGAAACUUUGGGGUGUGGCUGCUUCACAGUGGCUCUACUCACCCCCACUAUGGUUAUUUUCCCAUCCCUGAAUAGAGCUGUAACAGGUGUCCUCAGCGACUAAAAGAACCCCUGUAUUGAUUCCCUGACCUGGGUGAUGAGCCUUAUUAUGGUAGGCAGGACCACGCGGAAGCUACCUGGAAUUUCCUCUUCUUACCUAAGAGUAAACUGAAAGCAAUACCACAUCCCUGGGAGAAUUGCAGAGAUUAGUAUUUCCAUCUAAUAUUCGAACAAUACAGGGGUUGUUCCACCACAUCCUCAUUUAACUUAUCUGUUUGGCAUGACAGAAGGAAGAUGGUUAUUGGAGAAUGACUAUGGAUUCUUAUAGAAUCAUUGAGGUACCGGACCAGAUGUAGGCUCUUUACUGGAUAACACAGCAGUGCUUCUGGUACUUUGAAGGCAACUAUUGAUCUGGCAGAUGCUUUUUUGUUCUCAAUACCAAAUUAGCAAAGAUCACCAGAUGGAGUUUGCUCCCAAUUAGCAGGAUCAGCAAAACACCCUCCCUGUCUUACUUCAGACCUCUGUGACUCUUCCGCUGUCUGACAAGAUCUUGUCUGCAGGGGCCUUGAUCAUCUUGAUAUUCCCCAGAACACCAUGCUAAUAUAUUACAUUAUUGACAUGGUGAGCAGGAAGCAGCACAUACUCUAGAUGCCUUAAUAAGACAUAUGUAUGCCAGAGGGUGGGAGAGAAACUCCAAGAAAAGUCAAAGGCCUACUACCUCAGUGAAGUUUCUAAGGGGUCCAGUGGUCUGAGAAAUGUUGGCAUUUCCUCUCCAAAUUGAAGGGCAAAUUGCUAUACUUUGUACCACCUACCACUGAGAAAGAGCUACAGUGUUCUCUGUCUCUUGAUUUUUGAGAUAACAUAGGUUCUUUCUGAGUAUUGUUCAAAGCAACAUUUGAGUAAUCCACAAAGCUGCCAAGUUUUGUGUGGGGACCAGCGCAUAAAAAGCCUCCCUAGCAGCAUUUCUCAACAUCAGCAGUGUUGACAUUUGGGGGACAAAGAAUUCUUCGAUGUGGGAGGCUAUUUGCGAAUUGUAAGAUGUUGUUUAGCAGCAUCCCUGGCCUCUACCCCCGGUUGUGACAUCCAGAAAUCUCUACAGACAUCGCCAGAUAUCCUUGGGGGAGCAAAACUGCCCUCACUUGAGAAUCCCUGGCCUACAGCAUGUCUAGGUAAGCCUCAAGGUGAGUAAAGCACUGGCUGACACUUAACUGCAACCUCGUGAGAGACCCCGAGCCAGAUCUUUCUAACUAAGCUAUUCCUCGAUUCCUGACUCUCAGAAACCAUGAGAGAUAAUGAAUGCUUGUUGCUAAGUUUGGGGAUAAUUUGUUGUGCAGCAAUACACUGAUCCACCGAGCCAUACGGUUGACGUACACAGCAGCAAUUGUCGUCCAGUGUAGGUAGUGUACACCAGACUGGAGUUGAGCACGUCCUGAAUGUGCAGAUGGUGGAGGAAGAAACUGUUUGGACCAGGUUCACAGGAUGGUUCCUUACAAUUUGAAGGCAUCAGAUAGAUGUGGACUGUAGAAGCAUUACAGCCCAAAGCAGGAAUGGGUUGUGAAGCAGAGGAAGGUGCUAUUAGAAGUACCAGGUCUGACAUCAACACGAAUUGGUUUUACCUCUUGCUGGCCCAGGACUCCCGGCUGGUCCUGCAGUGUUGGUAGUAUACUCUCUCAGGUAUGGGCGAGGCUCCCUCCUGCUCUUCCUUCAGACCCAGCUCAGAUGUCAGCCCAUCAGGAGGGCUUUCCGGACCACCCGAUGUGAUCAUGCCCUCACCUCCCACCACGUCGGAUUCCCCAUCGUGCUUUGAUUUUCUUCAUGGCGUUUGUCAAAAUGUAUCUCUGUAGAGCCCCGGGGAAUGCAGACAGCCCACGUCACACUCCUGAAGUUGCCAAAAAUCCCUUUAAAAUGAUCCAACAGAUGUCCUUCCUUGGGGUCGAGCGGAUAUAAAUCACAACGGUCUGCUUUCAAUUCCUAACUCGGUGUCUUAGGGGCAGCAAAAUCAAUCACUCUCAGGGAUGAUGAGAUGGACCCUUUGUCUAAAAACAGUUAAGUGAGGAGGAUACAGAGAAGCAAUUGAAGGAAACAAAGGCAAAAGUGGGAAGUCCCCCUCUGGCAAGCAGCUCCAAGAAGACAGAGUUGGUGCCAGAAUGGAAACCUUGGGACUCCAGUUGCUGCAUAAAAAAAUAAAUAGAGGAACAAAAAUAACACCCACAUCUCCAUGCUGGACAGCAGAAGAGCAAGAAGUUGCCGAACAUUUGGUUUUUUUGUUUUUGCUAGAUUAUUUUUUACUCUCUAAAUCUAAGCUCCUAUAUUCCCCUUCUUCCCUGUUUCUAUAUGUUAGAAACUCAGUACAAAUGAAAAAAAAAAACAAAACCAAAAAACCCCCCAAAAAAACCCCAGAACAAAAGCAUUAAGGCUGGGUGCUUCAUUUAUUGUCAACAGGGAUGUUUCAGACUGUUGUUAAACUAGAUGGGACUCAAUGCUUUAGAAACAUCUCAUCACUCAAUUUAGUGAUUUUCAUAUACUUUUGUUAGACUGCCAUGCAGCAAAACAUGGAACUCCUCCCCAGUCCCCUCUACUUCUUCCAUCUCUCAUCAAGGCAGUUUCCUUGUUAUGGUGAAGGGAAAACUGGAUACAACUGCAGUAUUUCUAGUCCUAUCUGAUGAAUAAUACUCAGCCCAUUUCAUCACCUGAGCCUUUAAGACAUAGUAUCUCUUAAAGACCCUGUUAGAUGGGGUUGGGGGAAGCGUCUUGCCCUGUGAAAACAGAUUCAUGCUAGGAGAGGUCAACAAAGACAAUAAAAUAAAUACUUAUUACAUGCUUACUAGAUGCCAGACAGAGUGUCAAGUAAUAAAUGAGCAUUAUCUUAAUUAAUUCUAAUAAUGAACCUUUCUGCAAGAGAGGUAGGUACUAACAUCAACCCCAGUUUACAGAUGAGGAACCUCUUAGAGAGGUUAAGUAACUUGCCCAAGGUCACACAGCUAGUAAGUGGUAGAGCUGGGAGCUAAUCCAGGUCUAACACAGUAUUCAUUAUCUUAAUCCCUAAACUAUAAUGUCACUUGAGUAUGGUGAUAAUAGAAGUAGUGAGAAUCGCCAAGGUAAUAAAAAAUAAAUAAAAUUCAAGCUCAUAACUUCUUAAUCUGAGGUCACCAAAGGUGGUCCAUGGUUUGGGUUGGGGAGAGUCUAUGAAUUAUUUUCAACAAUUCAAAUAGUCUAAUCCAUGGGUUCUUUGUCUUUUGUGUGCCAUGGACCCCUAUGGCUGU
Balaenoptera acutorostrata (minke whale) is the source of this 4627-nucleotide long non-coding RNA. RefSeq lists it as uncharacterized. The record is from RefSeq and is a predicted model, not a curated record. Lineage: Eukaryota; Metazoa; Chordata; Mammalia; Artiodactyla; Balaenopteridae. The transcript is spliced from 9 exons.